GAUGAAGAACGUAGCGAAAUGCGAUACGUAAUGUGAAUUGCAGAAUUCAGUGAAUCAUCGAGUCUUUGAACGCACACUGCGCCCCCUGGUAUUCCGGGGGGCAUGCCUGUCCGAGCGUCAUUGCUGCCCUCAAGCCCGGCUUGUGUGUUGGGUCUCGUCCCCCUUCCCGGGGGGACGGGCCCGAAAGGCAGCGGCGGCACCGCGUCCGGUCCUCGAGCGUAUGGGGCUUUGUCACCCGCUCUGUAGGCCCGGCCGGCGCUUGCCGAUCAACCAAAACUUUUUUCCAGGUUGACCUCGGAUCAGGUAGGGAUACCCGCUGAACUUAAGCAUAUCAAUAAGCGGAGGA
Molecule: unclassified non-coding RNA, 346 nt
Filed under: soil metagenome
Description: partial contains 5.8S ribosomal RNA, internal transcribed spacer 2, and large subunit ribosomal RNA
Rfam family: 5.8S ribosomal RNA (bases 1-120)
Source: RNAcentral